CCUACGGGUGGCUGCAGUGGGGAAUAUUGCACAAUGGGCGCAAGCCUGAUGCAGCCAUGCCGCGUGUGUGAAGAAGGCCUUCGGGUUGUAAAGCACUUUCAGCGGGGAGGAAGGCGGUGAGGUUAAUAACCUCAUCGAUUGACGUUACCCGCAGAAGAAGCACCGGCUAACUCCGUGCCAGCAGCCGCGGUAAUACGGAGGGUGCAAGCGUUAAUCGGAAUUACUGGGCGUAAAGCGCACGCAGGCGGUCUGUCAAGUCGGAUGUGAAAUCCCCGGGCUCAACCUGGGAACUGCAUUCGAAACUGGCAGGCUAGAGUCUUGUAGAGGGGGGUAGAAUUCCAGGUGUAGCGGUGAAAUGCGUAGAGAUCUGGAGGAAUACCGGUGGCGAAGGCGGCCCCCUGGACAAAGACUGACGCUCAGGUGCGAGAGCGUGGGGAGCAAACAGGAUUAGAUACACUGGUAGUC
RNAcentral lists this ribosomal RNA (465 nucleotides) under uncultured Klebsiella sp. RNAcentral describes it as "bacterial SSU rRNA". It matches the Rfam family "Bacterial small subunit ribosomal RNA", at positions 338 to 795 of the family's 1533-position model. The record is from RNAcentral. Lineage: Bacteria; Pseudomonadati; Pseudomonadota; Gammaproteobacteria; Enterobacterales; Enterobacteriaceae.